UUGAACGGCUGGCGGCAGGCCUAACACAUGCAAGUUCGAGCGCGAAAACACUUCGGUGUGAGUAGAGCGGCGGACGGGUGAGUAAUGCUUGGGAAUCUGCCCAGUAGUGGGGGAUAACGUGUGGAAACGCACGCUAAUACCGCAUACGUCCUACGGGAGAAAGCAGGGGAUCUUCGGACCUUGCGCUAUUGGAUGAGCCCAAGUCGGAUUAGCUAGUUGGUGGGGUAAUGGCCUACCAAGGCGACGAUCCGUAGCUGGUCUGAGAGGAUGAUCAGCCACACUGGGACUGAGACACGGCCCAGACUCCUACGGGAGGCAGCAGUGGGGAAUAUUGCACAAUGGGCGAAAGCCUGAUGCAGCCAUGCCGCGUGUGUGAAGAAGGCUCUAGGGUUGUAAAGCACUUUCAGUAGGGAGGAAAAGCUUGAGGUUAAUAACCUUGAGCCCUGACGUUACCUACAGAAGAAGCACCGGCAAACUCCGUGCCAGCAGCCGCGGUAAUACGGAGGGUGCGAGCGUUAAUCGGAAUUACUGGGCGUAAAGCGCGCGUAGGUGGUUUGAUAAGCUAGCUGUGAAAGCCCCGGGCUCAACCUGGGAACUGCAGUUAGAACUGUCUGACUAGAGUACAGUAGAGGGUGGCGGAAUUUCCUGUGUAGCGGUGAAAUGCGUAGAUAUAGGAAGGAACAUCAGUGGCGAAGGCGGCCACCUGGACUGAUACUGA
This 718-nucleotide ribosomal RNA is filed under the name gamma proteobacterium IMCC15046. RNAcentral describes it as "bacterial SSU rRNA". It matches the Rfam family "Bacterial small subunit ribosomal RNA", at positions 29 to 743 of the family's 1533-position model. Lineage: Bacteria; Pseudomonadati; Pseudomonadota; Gammaproteobacteria. The record is from RNAcentral.